This 408-nucleotide ribosomal RNA is filed under the name uncultured Corynebacterium sp. Its description in RNAcentral is "bacterial SSU rRNA". It matches the Rfam family "Bacterial small subunit ribosomal RNA", at positions 355 to 774 of the family's 1533-position model. Lineage: Bacteria; Bacillati; Actinomycetota; Actinomycetes; Mycobacteriales; Corynebacteriaceae. The record is from RNAcentral.
UGGGGAAUAUUGCACAAUGGGCGGAAGCCUGAUGCAGCGACGCCGCGUGGGGGAUGACGGCCUUCGGGUUGUAAACUCCUUUCACCAUCGACGAAGGUUUUCUGACGGUAGAUGGAGAAGAAGCACCGGCUAACUACGUGCCAGCAGCCGCGGUAAUACGUAGGGUGCGAGCGUUGUCCGGAAUUACUGGGCGUAAAGAGCUCGUAGGUGGUUUGUCGCGUCGUCUGUGAAAUUCCGGGGCUCAACUCCGGGCGUGCAGGCGAUACGGGCAUAACUUGAGUACUGUAGGGGAGACUGGAAUUCCUGGUGUAGCGGUGAAAUGCGCAGAUAUCAGGAGGAACACCGGUGGCGAAGGCGGGUCUCUGGGCAGUAACUGACGCUGAGGAGCGAAAGCAUGGGUAGCGAACA